This is an unclassified non-coding RNA of Nomascus leucogenys (northern white-cheeked gibbon), 217 nucleotides long. The record is from Ensembl. Lineage: Eukaryota; Metazoa; Chordata; Mammalia; Primates; Hylobatidae.
AAACAGCCUCCUUCAAAAUGCAGCUUGACUGUGAUUCACGGCACAAAGCUGGAAUAACCCUGCCAGUUCUUAGAAGCUUUAAGAUUCAUCGUCUUGAACUUGAUGUACAUAGUAUAGCACCUUAAAAACAAAUCAUCUGCUAGUUCAGUAUUUUCUACUUACAAUCACUCCCUCCCAGGGCAUGUAAUUAAUUUACUGAGCUUAAAAAAAAAAAAAA